GGCGAGAUUUUCGAGCGGUCUAAGGCGCUGGUUUUAGGCACCAGUCUCUUCGGAGGCGUGGGUUCGAAUCCCACUCUCGUCA
Molecule: transfer RNA, 82 nt
Filed under: Toxocara canis (dog roundworm)
Lineage: Eukaryota; Metazoa; Nematoda; Chromadorea; Rhabditida; Toxocaridae
Rfam family: tRNA
About the family: Transfer RNA (tRNA) molecules are approximately 80 nucleotides in length. Their secondary structure includes four short double-helical elements and three loops (D, anti-codon, and T loops). Further hydrogen bonds mediate the characteristic L-shaped molecular structure. tRNAs have two regions of fundamental functional importance: the anti-codon, which is responsible for specific mRNA codon recognition, and the 3' end, to which the tRNAs corresponding amino acid is attached (by aminoacyl-tRNA synthetases). tRNAs cope with the degeneracy of the genetic code in two manners: having more than one tRNA (with a specific anti-codon) for a particular amino acid; and 'wobble' base-pairing, i.e. permitting non-standard base-pairing at the 3rd anti-codon position.
Source: Rfam by way of RNAcentral